AAUGUCGUAACAAGGUUUCCGUAGGUGAACCUGCGGAAGGAUCAUUAAAUGAAUACCUGGACUCCGGUCCUCGUCGAGAAAUGGUCGUCCCGGGUGGCCUCCAGGUCCCCGGGGGGUCUUCCCCCCAUCCUUGACCCUCUCGUUUACUCUUACCUCCUGCUUGCUUUAGGCAUCAGCUCCUGCCCGGGUCGGUUCCCGGGGCCUUGGGGUCCGUCUUGGCCCGGUACGGGCCCCCGGAACGCCUACUGUGGGAUUAGGUCCUAUGUUUGUCUGAGUACGAUAUAAUUCGUUUACAA
This 296-nucleotide unclassified non-coding RNA is filed under the name plant metagenome. RNAcentral's name for it is "partial contains small subunit ribosomal RNA and internal transcribed spacer 1". The stretch from base 1 to 47 matches the Rfam family "Eukaryotic small subunit ribosomal RNA", at positions 1785 to 1831 of the family's 1831-position model. The record is from RNAcentral.